AUGCCGCGGUGAAUACGUUCCCGGGCCUUGUACACACCGCCCGUCACACCAUGAGAGUCGGGAACACCCGAAGUCCGUAGCCUAACCGCAAGGAGGGCGCGGCCGAAGGUGGGUUCGAUAAUUGGGGUGAAGUCGUAACAAGGUACC
Molecule: ribosomal RNA, 147 nt
Filed under: uncultured bacterium
Lineage: Bacteria
Description: partial 16S ribosomal RNA
Rfam family: Bacterial small subunit ribosomal RNA
Source: RNAcentral